RNAcentral lists this ribosomal RNA (482 nucleotides) under uncultured bacterium. Its description in RNAcentral is "partial 16S ribosomal RNA". It matches the Rfam family "Bacterial small subunit ribosomal RNA", at positions 30 to 507 of the family's 1533-position model. The record is from RNAcentral.
AUUGAACGCUGGCGGCAUGCCUUACACAUGCAAGUCGAACGGUAACGGGCCUUCGGGUGCCGACGAGUGGCGAACGGGUGAGUAAUACAUCGGAACGUGCCCGAUCGUGGGGGAUAACGAGGCGAAAGCUUUGCUAAUACCGCAUACGAUCUACGGAUGAAAGCAGGGGACCGCAAGGCCUUGCGCGGACGGAGCGGCCGAUGGCAGAUUAGGUAGUUGGUGGGAUAAAAGCUUACCAAGCCGACGAUCUGUAGCUGGUCUGAGAGGAUGAUCAGCCACACUGGGACUGAGACACGGCCCAGACUCCUACGGGAGGCAGCAGUGGGGAAUUUUGGAGAAUGGGCGCAAGCCUGAUCCAGCCAUGCCGCGUGCAGGAUGAAGGCCUUCGGGUUGUAAACUGCUUUUGUACGGAACGAAAAGCCUUCUUUUAAUACAGGAGGGUCAUGACGGUACCGUAAGAAUAAGCACCGGCUAACUACGUG